RNAcentral lists this ribosomal RNA (293 nucleotides) under uncultured prokaryote. RNAcentral's name for it is "partial 16S ribosomal RNA". It matches the Rfam family "Bacterial small subunit ribosomal RNA", at positions 524 to 820 of the family's 1533-position model. The record is from RNAcentral.
UACAGAGGUCUCAAGCGUUGUUCGGAUUCAUUGGGCGUAAAGGGUGCGUAGGUGGCGGGGCAAGUCUGGUGUGAAAUCCCGGGGCUCAACCCCGGAACUGCACUGGAUACUGCUUUGCUAGAGCACUGGAGAGGGAACUGGAAUUUACGGUGUAGCAGUGAAAUGCGUAGAUAUCGUAAGGAAGACCAGUGGCGAAGGCGAGUUCCUGGACAGUUGCUGACACUGAGGCACGAAGGCUAGGGGAGCAAACGGGAUUAGAAACCCUUGUAGUCCUACAAGGGGUAGCAAACAGG